UUUCAUUGCCAUCAAAAGAAAUUAUCUAUGAUAAUUAAGUGAUAUUUAUUUUUAUUUGUAUAACAGGAUGAUUUGUUACUGAAUUUGGAAAUUAGUUUUCCACUGCCAAUUUAUUCUUUGAUCACAGAUCAGAUUGAAUUGAAUCCAUAUACCUCAAAAUGACUCUUAUCAUUUUGAUAUGUAUUGUUAACAAAAAUUUAAAAGCAUAUUCAUAUGUCUGUAAAAAAUCAAGAAUGGUGUUUUGUGAGAUAUUGCUACAGGGUAAAGUUGUUACGUUUGAAAAACUUGUGUCAUAGUCCAUUUAUAGUCUGUAAAGAAAUAUGGCCAUGCAGAUGUAAAAAGAGUAUGUCAAUAGCUUUAUUCUUUAUCAUUGGUAUCAGUAUACAUGAUUUGCUGUCGUUCUUGUACAGUCUUUUUCAUGAAUGUUUAAAGCAGUUGAGGCCUUGUUAUUGCUCAUUGGUGAUAAAAAUAAAAUGUGUAGAAGUGGAU
Molecule: long non-coding RNA, 489 nt
Filed under: Androctonus crassicauda
Lineage: Eukaryota; Metazoa; Arthropoda; Arachnida; Scorpiones; Buthidae
Source: RNAcentral